Manis pentadactyla (Chinese pangolin) is the source of this 4963-nucleotide long non-coding RNA. RefSeq lists it as uncharacterized. The transcript is spliced from 6 exons. NCBI's taxonomy places the organism in Eukaryota, Metazoa, Chordata, Mammalia, Pholidota, Manidae. The record is from RefSeq and is a predicted model, not a curated record.
GCGCUCCGACGUCCGCUGGGCUGCGCUGCGGCACGCUCGCCCGCCCUUUGCCCCAGCCCCGCCCCCGGGCCGGCACCCCCUCCCGCCUCCGCCCGCGGUCCCGGCGGCCCCUUGCCCACCUCGCGAGUGCGAGUCUUUCCUGGGCGGCGAGACUGCGCAGCCUCAUGCGCGCGUCCGCAGGCGGCUCGACCCCGCCGCCGCCGGUGAGGGCUGACCCCGGGUGCCUGACCUCCAGACACCGGUACCGGCCGGGUACCCGACCUCCAGACGACAGCAGGCGGUCACUAGCUUGCGGACCGAGAGGGAGCCGGCCCACUUCCCACGGAAGCAGGAGGAGCGGCGCCUAGGGGUUGGAGAAGCAGCCUGCGCCUCAGGAGUGUGGCCCAGGCUGUAUCUGUUGACCCAAGUCAGGAGCGGCCUCGGCACCUGCGGAUUUUCAGCUGCCCGUCCUCACCGCACCCGCGCCGGGCCCUGUCCUCUUGCCGCACACCUGCCGAGCCGUCUACUCACCACACUGAGCUGACCGUCCCCUGUGAUCAGGAUUGCAGAGGGAAGAUGGCAGACAGCAGAGGCCCCCACCUGACACCCUGAGCAACAGACGCUGAAGGCUGAGUGGUAGCUACUGGAGGCCCGCUGUGUAACCCUUUCCCCAAACUGGAAGCCUUCCUGGUCGGCUGGUGGAGUCCUCCAAGUCGACCCCCAGCAGAAGGAACCGGAGGUUGAUGUGGAACAGAGCAGGCCCCUUUCCCUGGUGGCAGUGCUUGGAGCCUCCAGUCGUGCACCUCUCAGCCACAUCCCUGUGGACAGUGCAUGCCGCCGACCGCUUGUCACUGGGCUGUCUGUCCGCGAUUGAGUCGUGUACUCCCGCACGCCUGUGUGCCAGGCCCCACAUCAGUUGAGUCACAAGUAUUUUCAUAUGCUUUGAGGGCUGUCGCUUCCUGGUCUCCGUGGCGCCCCUGAACACAGCCUUUUAAUUCUGAUCCAGCUCAGUGCGAUCUUUCUCUCUGUUGCUCACGCUUUUGGUGCCUGAGGACAGGAUGUGACUCCCGGGAGCCCCCACCAGCCCUUGGCUGCAGCUCCUUUCCAGGUGCCGGCCCUGACCCGGGAGGCCAGUGCGCCACUAGGGGUCAGUAGUUCAUCUGCGCCUCCCAGGCCCACCUUCUUGCUCCCGUGAGGCUGUGUGAAGGCAGUGUCAUCUCCCUCUCACAGUGUCACCUGUGGCUGGGAAGGUGGUGUGGAAGUGCCAGUGUGAGUGUGAGUGCACACCUGUGGCCAGCAGGCAGGACACCACCCCACCCGACUGCAGGGCUGCCUCCGCUGUCAGACGGUAGCUGCCACCGGGGCAGGCGUGAGUGUCCUCUGAAGCUCCUCAGAGCAGUGUACCCUUCAGGCCUUUCUGUCUUGUAGCAUCAGACAUCAAGGAGGACAUGGAGGCCCUGCUGGCCUUGGAACGAGCAGAGAUCAUAGGCAGACACCGUCAGGUGAUGCCUGGCUGGGGAGGGUAGCCCGCAGGAGCAGGUACCGCCAGGCAGUAAGAGCAGCUGAGGCCUGGGUGGGUCACAGCCAGGCAUGCACACGUGGGCUUCACCACCAGGAUGUUCCGAUGGGGAUGUGGCCAAGUGCGAGCAGGGGAGGCCCACACAGGCCUCAGCCAGCAGGAGAGUGAGCUGUCAGGCUGCCCCGCCCAGGGGGCAGGGCCCUUGCUUCAGGUGGCAUCAGUCAGAAGUCCCUGGGCUUCCUCCUCUCUCCUCCUGCCCGUGCCCCUGGCUCUGGCGCACCCUCACCAUGGUGCCCCUCCAGGCAUCAGGGCACCGGUGGACCCGCGGGACAAUCCUGGCCUCUCUCUGUACAGUCACUGGCCAUCUGGGCUUUCCGUGGUGAGUCACCUGGGCACGUCCUUCUCAUCUGGGAUGGUUUCCAUUUGCGGAAAUACCUCUGGAGCCAGGACCUCACCCCUGAUGCCCACAGUGGGUCAUGGUCUGCACUAAGCUCAAGCUGAGACCCAGCAGGCAGAUCAGGGAAGUGAGCCGGGUGGAGCAGGGCACCACAUGGGGGUACAGGCGACAGUGUCUGCUUCCCAGGCAGAGGGAGGGUCUCGCUGAGUCAGUAGUGGCCCCACAGGCUGUGGCUACAGGGCAAGGGGCGCCUGGCUAAGCUUCUGGGUGGCUGGUUGUCCAGCAGGUCUCAGGAAUCCAGCUGGCCCAGCCCAGUGGCCACAUGGAGCCAGGCCGAAGGGCAGCGAGGGGGCCCUCAGGUCUCACAGGUGACAGGCAGGUGGGGUUUGCAGCUGAAAGUAACCUGGUGUUAGCAUAUCUGGAGGGUAGAUGGGCCAUGGCGGGGACAGAGGAGAUGGGCUGCCUGGGUUCUUGGGCAGUGGGAUCCUCUCAGGGGGGGAUGCCCUGUACAGGCAGGCAGGGGAGGCUUGGGGCAUCUGCGUGGAGGGGAGCCUGGGGUCUCAGGUGGGGCCAGCAUGGCAGCCUGGGGCCCUGCUCACUGCCCAGUAGACAAGCUGUUUGGACCAGUUGGGACAGGUCCUGCUCAGAGGCUCUGACAAGUUGUGAUGGGUCAGAGUGGCUGGUGUGACACAGAGCACAGUGAGGUCAGGGGCCAGAGGGUGGGGUGCGGGGACACAGGCAGGGUGGGCACAAGUGCCCCCUGGCUGCCCUGGGCAGUUCUCAGGCUGGCCCAACCCCAGGACACUGGCAGGUCACCUCAGUUCCAGCACUGACCCUUCUCAGGCCCCCACAGAGGGGCUGUCUCCAGCCCAACUGUGACCAGAGCCCCCUGAGGGCUGUUUCCUCAAAAAUGCAUCCGGGCCUGCAAGGGAACCCCACACAGGUGCUGGGCCAGACGUGGUCAUUCCUGCUGGAUGCUGAGAAGGUGAAGGCAGAGGACAAGGGAAAUACGAGGUGUGCCCUAACCCUGACAGAGGCCCAGAUACUGUAGGCAGGCCUGGUCAGAGGCCUGGGUCCAGAGCACCAAAGCCACCCCUAGAACCCUGAGUGGGGACAGAGUUGGAAAGCAGAGAGAAACCAGGGACAAGGGAAAGAGCAAGGGAACAGCCCAGAACCACAAAGCAAGAGCAGUGGGUCCACGUGUGGGGCAUGGUAAGAACCAGCCUCCGCUGGACAGGAAACCUGGCGCUCAGCCUGGGAGGUGGUGCGUCAGGGGCCUGCAGGGGGCCACUGCGGGCUUUCCCCUUCCUCAGAGAGGACCCCGCCUGGUCCGCCAGGUCACACCGCCCAGGGGUCUUGUGUGCACGUGCUAGUGCCCCCAGGCCAUGAGACCCCCAGAUGGGAGCCAUGCUUUGACAGGCCACCAUAUGCACCUGUACAUCCAUUCAUAGUGGAGCAGCCGCCAGCAUCACACUCCCAUCAUGAGCCCUCAAAGGGCACCUAUAAAACUGCAGCCACUGGCUGUGCGGCUCAGGGGGAUGGAGGAGAGGCGGGGCUGUCCUGACCCAAGGGUGAGCCCAUGGCACAGCUUGGCCAGCUCCUCCUGGGAAGGAGAGGGCUAGCACGCAGACUGUACCCCCACCAUCUCGAAUCCACACACUCAGGCUCCCUGCAUAGCUACCCACCAAUUCCUGGGCUUCUGACAGCCUGGGUCUGCUCUGAACUUACUACCAGGAGCCCAGCCAGGUGCAUCUGGACAUCAGUAAAAUUGGGACAAACAGCCUGACCGCUGGUCCCCCUGCUGAAGGACUCAGGCGGUGUCAGGGAGCAGACUCCCUGAGACGGGCCUGCUCCAGGGACAGGUUCAGGGCCCAGGCAGGCACUGUCAUCCUGGGCAGGGAGGGAGGGGUGGCCGGGUGGCCUGGCCAGGCCCUUUAGCGGGUGGGGUCUGGGCCUUGAGUAUCACAGGCAUGUGGGUACUGGUGGUGUAAGAAUGAGCAGAGCGAGGUUUCGGCAGGAGACACGCAUGUUGCAGCCCGAGUGCAGUACUUCAGAGGUGGCCUCGGGCCGGCGUGCUGUCUGAUGGGCUGCCCCUCGGUUCUGCCCUCAAAGAGCAGGCCGAGUUCUUCUCCGGAAAUAAAGCAGGUCCAUCUGGCCGUAGAGACAGGAACCCAGGGUGUGAGGGCAAGCCUGGUAAGUCACAUCCCCACCAAGCCCUUCCCGCCUGCAGACUUGCGCACAAAAUGAGUCGGGCUUCCCAUAAAGGAAGACGGAAGACUUCCGACGAGGGCCCAGUCCUGUUGGAAAAAGCAGCUUCCUCAACAUGGAAACGAGGGGCACAGCCAUGUCCCCACUGUGACUCCAUCAGGGGCCUCCAGGACACUGAAGAGAAUGAGACAGGAAAUUACAGGGAAGGAGAGAUACUGAUGGAUCACAACCCAUAAAGGACUCGUGCUGAGUAAGAAAACUCGGAACUCAGCAGAAGUGACCCAAGGCACAAGAGCUGAGCAGCCGCAUGACCCAGAGAUAACGUAUUAACAUAUGUGGACACACACGUACAGAGAUGCUCACCGUGUAAACACGGGACCCCAGCACUCACCUAUUUGGUGGAGACCCAGGAGGCCCUGGAGUGCAGUGGGGCAGCAGGGACUCGCUCACCACGGUGGGAACGCAGCUGCUUUGGGACGUAGUUGGUGGCUCUUAAAAGCUAAACGUGGCCCCAAGAGCUCAUAGUCAAAAUCAGCACGCCACAUUCACCACAGCACCCACAAACACUAAGACAGGGGCAGUGAGGGGACGUGGGGGCAGGAAGACCCUGCGACCACAGGAAGGGACAGGUUACUGACUUCCCAGCAGACGAGUUGGGGAUGCAUUUUGCAACGGGUAAAAAGCCAGGCCCAUGAGUGGUUCUGUUCACAGAACAUUCUGGAAAAGGCCAAACUAUGGGGAGGGGAGGAGUCAUGGAGGCGUGCGCCUGGCCACGAGGACACCUUCAGGUCAGGAUGAGGUGCUCUCCAUGUCUGCCAACCCAAAAGCUGGACUUGAAAUAAAACAAAUGUAAACACUCA